Molecule: long non-coding RNA, 593 nt
Filed under: Erythranthe guttata (spotted monkey flower)
Lineage: Eukaryota; Viridiplantae; Streptophyta; Magnoliopsida; Lamiales; Phrymaceae
Description: long non-coding RNA (EGUT_LNC001415)
Source: RNAcentral
CCCCCCGCGGCCGCAAACGACGGCGCAACCCAUUACGCCGCCGGCCGAACCCCAUGGGCUAAAUAUUCUUGGUACUACUACUAAUGGGUCUUCUUCUUGUUGAAUCUUUCCCCCUGAGAUUAAUUAUAUAAAAUUUUAAAUAAGUUUUUUUUUUUCUUUUUUUAGAUUAAUUAGUUCAUCGGUAAAAGAAAGGCUUCAACUUUGUUAGUUAAUUCCUAUGUUUCUUCUUAAUUAAUCUAGAUUUUUGCUUAUGUUAAUCUUGUCUUAAGUAGCUAAUUAACAUCACUAAUCAUCAUCAUUAAGGUUAAUCACUCGAGCUUUCAGUGAGGUUCAAAAAUGGCGGAACUAUUCAAUUUAAUGGGAAAUUUUUAAUUUUUAUUAUUUUCUCCUGGUAAUUUUUUAUCUUUAAGUAAAUAUAAAUUCCGGUGCCGCCAUCCAAGAUUUCAUUUCUUUUAAAUUAUAUAUUAAAUAAAACAAAUAAUAAUAAAAUAUGCAUGAAAUAAUAUUUAAUUUCUGGGGGCUGUACUGUAAUGAAACAGAGGGGGUGGUUUGUCUGAGAUGAAGCAGCAGAAAGAUUUUGUGUUACAUAAAAU